This 467-nucleotide ribosomal RNA is filed under the name uncultured bacterium. RNAcentral's name for it is "partial 16S ribosomal RNA". It matches the Rfam family "Bacterial small subunit ribosomal RNA", at positions 28 to 507 of the family's 1533-position model. The record is from RNAcentral.
GACGAACGCUGGCGGCGUGCUUAACACAUGCAAGUCGAACGGAAAGGCCUCUUUCGGGGGGUACUCGCGUGGCGAACGGGUGAGUAACACGUGAGUAACCUGCCCUUGACUUUGUGAUAACUUCAGGAAACUGGGGCUAAUACCGGAUAUAGGCUCCUGCUGCAUGGGGGGGGUUGGGAAGUGUCGGCGGUUGGGGGUGGACUCGCGGCUUAUCAGCUUGUUGGUGGGGGAGUGGCUUACCAAGGCGUUUACGGGUGGCCGGGCUGGGAGGGUGACCCGCCACAUUGGGACUGAGAUUCGGCCCCGACUCCUACGGGGGGCAGCAGUGGGGAAUAUUGCACAAUGGGUGGGAGCCUGAUGCAGCAACGCCGGGUGCGGGAUGACGGCCUUCGGGUUGUAAACCGCUUUCGCUCAUGACGAAGCUUUGUGUGACGGUAGUGGGUAAAGAAGCACCGGCUAACUACGUG